RNAcentral lists this ribosomal RNA (460 nucleotides) under uncultured bacterium. Its description in RNAcentral is "partial 16S ribosomal RNA". It matches the Rfam family "Bacterial small subunit ribosomal RNA", at positions 338 to 795 of the family's 1533-position model. The record is from RNAcentral.
CCUACGGGUGGCAGCAGUGAGGAAUAUUGGUCAAUGGGCGCGAGCCUGAACCAGCCAAGUCGCGUGAGGGAUGACUGCCCUACGGGUUGUAAACUUCUUUUAUAAAGGAAUAAAGUGAGGCACGUGUGCCUUUUUGUAUGUACUUUAUGAAUAAGGAUCGGCUAACUCCGUGCCAGCAGCCGCGGUAAUACGGAGGCUCCGAGCGUUAUCCGGAUUUAUUGGGUUUAAAGGGAUCGGAGAUGGGUAGUUAAGUCAGUUGUGAAAGUUUGCGGCUCAACCGUAAAAUUGCAAUGGAUACUGGCAGCCUUGAGUACAGAUGAGGUAGGCGGAAUUCGUGGUGUAGCGGUGAAAUGCUUAGAUAUCACGAAGAACUCCGAUUGCGAAGGCAGCUUACUAAACUGCCACUGACAUUGAUGCUCGAAAGUGUGGGUAUCAAACAGGAUUAGAUACCCCGGUAGUC